This 520-nucleotide ribosomal RNA is filed under the name bacterium A4T_VP6_B2. Its description in RNAcentral is "bacterial SSU rRNA". It matches the Rfam family "Bacterial small subunit ribosomal RNA", at positions 337 to 850 of the family's 1533-position model. The record is from RNAcentral.
UAAUACGGGAGGCAGCNGUGGGGAAUAUUGCACAAUGGGCGCAAGCCUGAUGCAGCCAUGCCGCGUGUGUGAAGAAGGCCUUAGGGUUGUAAAGCACUUUCAGUAAGGAGGAAAGGUUAGUAGUUAAUACCUGCUAGCUGUGACGUUACUUACAGAAGAAGCACCGGCUAACUCCGUGCCAGCAGCCGCGGUAAUACGGAGGGUGCGAGCGUUAAUCGGAAUUACUGGGCGUAAAGCGUACGCAGGCGGUUUGUUAAGCGAGAUGUGAAAGCCCCGGGCUCAACCUGGGAACUGCAUUUCGAACUGGCAAACUAGAGUAUGAUAGAGGGUGGUAGAAUUUCAGGUGUAGCGGUGAAAUGCGUAGAGAUCUGAAGGAAUACCGAUGGCGAAGGCGGCCACCUGGGUCAAUACUGACGCUCAUGUACAAAAGCGUGGGGAGCAAACGGGAUUAAAUACCCCGGUAGUCCCCGCCGUAAACAAUGUCUACUAGGAGCUGGGGUCUUCGAACAACUUUUCCAAA